CGUGUAGGCGGUGCGGUAAGUCGAGUGUGAAAUCCCCAGGCUCAACCUGGGGCGGUCGCUCGAGACUGCCGUGCUCGAGUGUGGGAGAGGGAAGUGGAAUUCCCGGUGCAGCGGUGAAAUGCGUAGAUAUCGGGAGGAACACCUGCGGCGAAGGCGGCUUCCUGGACCACAACUGACGCUGAGGCGCGAAAGCUAGGGGAGCAAACAGGAUUAGAUACCCUGGUAGUCCUAGCCCUAAACGAUGAGCACUGGGUGUUGCCCUUCACCGGGCAGUGCCGAAGCUAACGCAUUAAGUGCUCCGCCUGGGGAGUACGGUCGCAAGGCUGAA
Molecule: ribosomal RNA, 328 nt
Filed under: uncultured bacterium
Lineage: Bacteria
Description: bacterial SSU rRNA
Rfam family: Bacterial small subunit ribosomal RNA
Source: RNAcentral